RNAcentral lists this ribosomal RNA (162 nucleotides) under Plukenetia volubilis. RNAcentral's name for it is "5.8S ribosomal RNA". It matches the Rfam family "5.8S ribosomal RNA". From Rfam's summary of the family: 5.8S ribosomal RNA (5.8S rRNA) is a component of the large subunit of the eukaryotic ribosome. RNAcentral also lists the same sequence under 2 other names. The record is from RNAcentral. Lineage: Eukaryota; Viridiplantae; Streptophyta; Magnoliopsida; Malpighiales; Euphorbiaceae.
AACGACUCUCGGCAACGGAUAUCUUGGCUCUCGCAUCGAUGAAGAACGCAGCAAAAUGCGAUACUUGGUGUGAAUUGCAGAAUCCCGUGAAUCAUCGAGUUUUUGAACGCAAGUUGCGCCCGAAGCCUUCCGGCCGAGGGCACGUCUGCCUGGGUGUCACGC